This 301-nucleotide ribosomal RNA is filed under the name uncultured bacterium. Its description in RNAcentral is "partial 16S ribosomal RNA". It matches the Rfam family "Bacterial small subunit ribosomal RNA", at positions 509 to 807 of the family's 1533-position model. The record is from RNAcentral.
CAGCCGCCACGGUAAUACGAAGGGUGCAAGCGUUAAUCGGAAUUACUGGGCGUAAAGCGUGCGCAGGCGGUUUGUUAAGACAGAUGUGAAAUCCCCGGGCUUAACCUGGGAACUGCAUUUGUGACUGGCAAGCUAGAGUCUGGCAGAGGGGGGUGGAAUUCCGCGUGUAGCAGUGAAAUGCGUAGAUAUGCGGAGGAACACCGAUGGCGAAGGCAGCCCCCUGGGCCAACACUGACGCUCAUGCACGAAAGCGUGGGGAGCAAACAGGAUUAGAUACCCCGGUAGUCCCUGUCUCUUAUAC